This 487-nucleotide ribosomal RNA is filed under the name uncultured organism. RNAcentral's name for it is "bacterial SSU rRNA". It matches the Rfam family "Bacterial small subunit ribosomal RNA", at positions 29 to 507 of the family's 1533-position model. The record is from RNAcentral.
AACGAACGCUGGCGGCGUGUCUUAAGCAUGCAAGUCGUGCGGCAAGGGGUAGCAAUACCCCCUAGAGCGGCGGACUGGUGAGUAACGCGUGGGUGAUCUGCCCUUGGGAUGGGGAUAGCCACUAGAAAUAGUGGGUAAUACCGAAUACGUUCGCUCCUUCGGUGGAGCGAGGAAAAGCGCUUCGGCGCUGCCCGAGGAUGAGCCCGCGUCCCAUUAGCUAGUUGGUGAGGUAAUGGCCCACCAAGGCGAUGAUGGGUAGGCGGCCUGAGAGGGUGUACGCCCACACUGGGACUGAGAUACGGCCCAGACUCCUACGGGAGGCAGCAGCUAAGAAUAUUCCGCAAUGGACGAAAGUCUGACGGAGCGACGCCGCGUGGAUGACGAAGGCCGAAAGGUUGUAAAGUCCUUUUGCUGGGGAAGAAUAACCAUGGGAGGGAAUGCCCGUGGGAUGACAUGAACCGGCGAAUAAGCCCCGGCUAACUACGUG